Molecule: transfer RNA, 72 nt
Filed under: Penaeus monodon (black tiger shrimp)
Lineage: Eukaryota; Metazoa; Arthropoda; Malacostraca; Decapoda; Penaeidae
Description: tRNA-Pro
Rfam family: tRNA
About the family: Transfer RNA (tRNA) molecules are approximately 80 nucleotides in length. Their secondary structure includes four short double-helical elements and three loops (D, anti-codon, and T loops). Further hydrogen bonds mediate the characteristic L-shaped molecular structure. tRNAs have two regions of fundamental functional importance: the anti-codon, which is responsible for specific mRNA codon recognition, and the 3' end, to which the tRNAs corresponding amino acid is attached (by aminoacyl-tRNA synthetases). tRNAs cope with the degeneracy of the genetic code in two manners: having more than one tRNA (with a specific anti-codon) for a particular amino acid; and 'wobble' base-pairing, i.e. permitting non-standard base-pairing at the 3rd anti-codon position.
Source: RNAcentral
GGCCUGUUGGUCUAGUGGUAUGAUCUUCGCUUCGGGUGCGAGGGGUCCCGGGUUCAAAUCCCGGACAGGCCU